AUGGAUACUAGCAUUCUAGAUUCAGUUUUGCAUUGUGAUGAUUCUUCGGUGGAUGAACCAGAGCUACAGUUAGUUACUUUUGAUAUUGAGGAGACACCUUUAGUUGAUAUUGAUCAUGUGCUGCUAGAGCUAGAUAUGGAAAAGUUCGCCUUCGAUGAUGUUAGCCGCAUUGAUUCCUCAACACUUGAGCCUGAGAUGGAGAGCUUCAUGGUUGAUUAUGGUGAGGUGGAUUCAGAUGUCAAGGAGCCAAGCUCCACUAUUUCACUUGUUGCCACGAGUCCGGUGGAAAUUUCUACUACCACACCUCACUUGGUAUCUUCAAUUGAGGUAGUCCUGAAGCUUCUUCCUAACUAUCUCAGGUAUGAUCGCUACUUUCUCAAAAAGACAUGCCAUAUCAUGGAUACUGCCUAUGCACCAUGCAAUUUGUUGAUGAUAUCUAUUUAUCAUAUGCUCAAUAGAUAUGCUUAUGUGAUAGGAUACUCUAUUGAUGACUUAGAGGGCAUUGUCCCUACACUUGUAUUGGCUUGUUUGUUGAGUUUUCUUUCAGGUUUACGCUUGUAUACCAUUCAUUGCGAGCUGACCAAGUUCGAGAUGACAUCCCAUGGGAUCCUGGUGGAUUCACGGCAUGGUGAUGAGGAGAAGCAAUGGGCACACGUGAAGAAGAGUGAAGAUGGAGCAGGCAUGAGGAUAGAGAAGCAAAAAGAGAAGAGCUGCAGUUUAGAGGGUGUCGAGCGAGUGCCACAUCAAAGCCCGAAAAGUGCGCAAAGGCACUAUAAUCAUCAAGAUUCCGAAUACAUGGCUAACCAGAAGAGAGAAGGGCAUGAAAGAAAUAUGUCAAGGACUUCAGUGAGAAGAAAAGAAGUAUCUAGGGGAGCAAACUAA
RNAcentral lists this ribosomal RNA (882 nucleotides) under Triticum aestivum (bread wheat). Its description in RNAcentral is "partial small subunit ribosomal RNA". The record is from RNAcentral. Lineage: Eukaryota; Viridiplantae; Streptophyta; Magnoliopsida; Poales; Poaceae.